Molecule: long non-coding RNA, 2113 nt
Organism: Alosa alosa (allis shad)
Lineage: Eukaryota; Metazoa; Chordata; Actinopteri; Clupeiformes; Clupeidae
Exons: 3
Source: RefSeq, a predicted model, not a curated record
AAUAUACUCAUCGUGUUUUUUUUGUUCGUCGCAGCGCUAUUGCGUGUAUUUAUACAAAUAGCCUGUGUCAGAUUUGCGGUGAUUUGAAGAAACUCCUAAAAAUAACGAUGGCAUCGAACUGAUUGUUUAGUUGAAGCAGGAUAGUGGUAAUUUACCGCCAUAUUGGUAGGACCCAUGUCGGACAGUCAGGCUCAGAAGAAAGUUCGGAGGCCUCGGGCUACAAAGGCUGAAAAGGGCACCCAGUGUUGUGCAUAUGGUUGCAAGAAGCGUAAGAAAAGCAGACUUAAUGGUAGAAGUGAUAGCGAAGGCAGCGAAGACGAAGAGUCGGCCUUAAAGAGAUGCCACCCUAGAACAUUUCAUUCUAUCCCAAGUGAUCCAGAGAGAAGAAGAGCCUGGCUUGUUGGUCUCCAUCGAGAGAAAUGGACACCUAGUUCACAUUCGCGUGUCUGCUCUGACCAUUUUAAAGAGAGUGACAUGGAUAGAACUGGCCAGACUGUCCGGCUUCGUUCUGAAGCCUUUCCAACUCGAUUUAAAAGCCUCCCAAAACAUUUGAGGAUGACUGUGAGUUCUCAACUUCUCAACCAAACAGCUGAAUAAAUGAAAAGUUCCAUAUUGUGUAACUAAAUUACAUGUUUUACAUGUCUAUUACGUCAUAUUUUCCAUUUAUCUACUAUUUGUGAGUUUUGGCAAACAGUUGAAUUUCUUUUUCUUGGAUGUGCCGUGAUCCAAUAAGCAACAGCUGGACUGCCUUACUGACUGAUGAAGUGGUCGGUUAAAGUUAAUGUUUAUGCACCACCACCAAGGAAACCACCAUUAGACCGUUCAAAAGUCAUUGCAAGCAAGGCUGUUCAAGAACGUAUACAACUUGAAAAUACAGUUCCAGAAUGCAAUCGAGUGUCACCUACAAGAAGGGUACAACUGAGUGACCAUCAGUAUUACAAUCCUGAAUGUAAUCCUACAAGAAAUGUACAACUGGGUGAUCAUGAGUACCACAUCAAGGAUUCACCAAAACGAUUAACUGGAAAACUUAACUCAUCCAAUGAAAAAAUUGCAAUUUUACGAAAGAAACUGAAACAUGCUCAGCAGAAAUCCAGACGUUUGCAAAUGAAAGUCAAGUCACUGAAGGAUAUUGUAAAACAUCUGCGCAAAACACAGAAGCAGCUGGAGUUGGGAACUUCACAUGAAAAUGUGUCUUCUGAAAACAGUUCAAAAAGUAAUAUGAAAAAUACGUGACCGUGCUAACACAGAAACGGUUUGAUCAGAACAGGAAAGGACUAUCAAAAUCCCAGUCCUUAAAUGUCAGUCAGAUAACUGGCUGUGCCAUGGUCACAGAAAAUACUUGCUGGAAAGUAUCUUAAAAAGGUACUAGGACAUCGUUAUACUCUGAUGGAAGUUUGACCAGCAUUCUGUCAACACCCCGGACCAUGACAAAACCAAUACAAAUAAACAGCAAGAUAAACAUGUUGGAGGUGUUAGACAUUGUGAAAUUCUGAUUUAUCUGGAUGUCCCUUGUCCCUUAUUUUGAAACUCUAGUAGUCCUGCGAUUUUUGAAACUAAUAGUCCUGCGUCCAACUUCAAGUUCUGUGUCUAAUCGCUCUCCAUUUAUUGAUUAUUGAUUGUCAGCACCUUGCUCAGUGAUAAAUCCAAAAGGUGAAAUUGUUUUUUCAGGAGAUGGUUUGAGAUAUUUGAGUUCAGGACUCCAUAUUUCUCUUUUGAUAAACCUCUCUAUUGUAACCAACUAAGUGUGAAAUCUGCACUACAGCAUAAUUAUCAUAAUUAAGAUUGUCACUUAAAAGGUUAAUCAACAGCUGUGGAAGUCUUGCUCGAAUACUUUACAUAUUGUCUGACUCAAAAUUCCGAAGUAGCCCUCUGUAUCAAGACAGUAUUUGGUGACCUAAAUGGUAGUGUGUGUAUAAAUUGUGAGAAUACACAUUGGCUUAUUAGGGAAUUAAAGACUGCUUUAACCGAAUGGUGGCAUGGUUCCUCGUAAUAUGUUGAGUUUUCACUGGUUGGCAGAUGGCAGGGCUGUUUAACUGUUAACUACUGUAAUUCCAGUCAAGGAGCAAUACACCAAAGAUAAUGGUAAUAAAGGGUCGCAUGACAACUUUUAGCA